GGGCCAGUGGCGCAACGGAAUAACGCGCCUGACUACGGAUCGGGAGUUUCCCAGGUUCGAAUCUUCUGGCUGGUGCU
Trichonephila inaurata madagascariensis is the source of this 77-nucleotide non-coding RNA. The record is from the annotation of a GenBank genome assembly. Lineage: Eukaryota; Metazoa; Arthropoda; Arachnida; Araneae; Nephilidae.